ACGUGAAACCUUGUGGGAAGCAGGGAGGACCACCUCCCAAGGCUAAAUACUACCUGAUGACCGAUAGUGAAGCAGUACCGUGAGGGAAAGGUGAAAAGAACCCCGGGAGGGGAGUGAAAUAGAACCUGAAACCGUGUGCCUACAACCGCUCAGAGCCCCUUAUGAGGGUGAUGAGGUGCUUUUUGUAGAACGAGCCAACGAGUUACGGUAUGUAGCAAGGUUAAGUACUUAAGGUACGGAGCCGAAGGGAAACCGAGUCUGAAUAGGGCGACUAGUUGCAUGCCGUAGACCCGAAACCGGGUGACCUAUCCAUGGCCAGGUUGAAGCGAGGGUAAAACCUCGUGGAGGACCGAACCACGUUGCUGUUGAAAAAGCAUGGGAUGAGCUGUGGAUAGCGGAGAAAUUCCAAUCGAACCCGGAGAUAGCUGGUUCUCUCCGAAAUAGCUUUAGGGCUAGCGUCGAGUAUGAGUAGUGGAGGUAGAGCACUGAAUGGGCUAGGGGGCAUAGCGCUUACCGAACCUUAUCAAACUCCGAAUGCCACAUACUUUGAGCUCGGCAGUCAGACUACGAAUGAUAAGAUCCGUGGUCAAAAGGGAAACAGCCCAGAUCGUCAGCUAAGGUCCCAAAGUGUAAGUUAAGUGGGAAAGGAUGUGAGAUUUCUAAGACAACUAGGAUGUUGGCUUAGAAGCAGCCAUUCAUUAAAAGAGUGCGUAAUAGCUCACUAGUCGAGAGAUCUUGCGCCGAAAAUGUAACGGGGCUAAACUUACCACCGAAGCUACGGGCUUGAACUUAGUUCAAGCGGUAGGAGAGCGUCGUAACCGGGCUGAAGUCGUACCGUAAGGAGCGGUGGACUGGUUACGAGUGAGAAUGUUGGCAUCAGUAGCGAGAUGUGGGUGAGAAUCCCACAGGCCGAAAACCUAAGGUUUCCUCAGGAAGGUUCGUCCGCUGAGGGUUAGUCGGGACCUAAGCCGAGGCCGAAAGGCGUAGGUGAUGGACAACUGGUUGAUAUUCCAGUACCACUACCAUCGUUAUUAUCGAUGGCGUGACGCAGGAGGAUAGUGUGUGCUAGCUAUUGGAUGCUAGUCUAAGCGUUUAGGCAGUGAGAGUAGGCAAAUCCGCUCUCAUAAUGCUGAGGCGUGAUGGGGAAGGUUCUACGGAAC
RNAcentral lists this ribosomal RNA (1160 nucleotides) under Clostridium perfringens. RNAcentral describes it as "partial 23S ribosomal RNA". It matches the Rfam family "Bacterial large subunit ribosomal RNA", at positions 424 to 1585 of the family's 2925-position model. Lineage: Bacteria; Bacillati; Bacillota; Clostridia; Eubacteriales; Clostridiaceae. The record is from RNAcentral.